UCUCGAAGUGGAAUCAGGUCAUUCCGACCUCUGUAGCUCGAGAUAUUCGCGUUUAAGCAACGGUGGUUCCGGCUGUACAGUACCAGCGAGUAAAUUAGUUUGUUUUCUUCUAAUUCCGAAUUUGAUUAUGAAAUUACUUAAGAGGGCUUAAGUUUUUAAUUAGAUUCAGGUCUGAUUAAGUGCUUAAGUUAUUGGGUCAAGGGUUUGACUUGGAGCGGGCUCAAGAGAAAAGAAAAGAAACCCAAGCCCAUGAAGAGGGGGAGCCCGCGGUUGUAUUAGGGUCUUGAAGGGGGGAAAAGUUUGUUUUCCAUUCAGUUCUGAAACAGAAACCCUUGCACUCCUUACGUAAAGAAAACAGAAGAGAAAAGAGUGAGAGAACCACCCCUUGCACCCUUAGCCGCCGCCGACAAAGCCACCACCGCCACCUUGUGCGCGCGUGAGAGAGAGAGGGAGACCUGCGAGAGAGAGAGAGCUCAACUAGGAGGGAAGAGAGGGUCUUGGACAGAAGCUUUUGAUCCCUUAUUCAUCACCCAACUUCUGAUUUCUUCACUCUUAAUCAAGAUGGUCGUGAAGAUAAUGGCGACGACUCAUUCUUGGGAGUUGAUGCUACGUGACGAGCCACUACCGCAUGACGACUACACUUCUGAUGAAGAGGAAGAAGAUAAAGGGGAAGGGGCCAAGGAUAUGGUUGGGUUGUGAGACAUCCAUUUUUCUUUUGGGUUGAGAGUACCGAGUUUUGGAAGUAUUGAACCAUUACUUUAUUUUAGUUGAGAUAGUUUAACUUGAUGUAAUUUACUUUGAAGUUUUCUUCCGGAUAUUUAUUUCAUACUCUUUUCAAUGAUUAAUAAAGUUUGAGGUUUACGUUGA
Lotus japonicus is the source of this 867-nucleotide long non-coding RNA. RefSeq lists it as uncharacterized. The record is from RefSeq and is a predicted model, not a curated record. The transcript has 2 exons. NCBI's taxonomy places the organism in Eukaryota, Viridiplantae, Streptophyta, Magnoliopsida, Fabales, Fabaceae.